Molecule: long non-coding RNA, 847 nt
Filed under: Gallus gallus (chicken)
Lineage: Eukaryota; Metazoa; Chordata; Aves; Galliformes; Phasianidae
Description: long non-coding RNA NONGGAT001504
Source: RNAcentral
UUUUCAUCUGAUGCUAAUGCUGUGUUCUGUGUUGCUGCCCUGAAGCCUAAGUUGUCUUUUUUGUUCCCAGAACAGGUACACUUUCCACGUUAAACCUGCCUGGGAGGAACCAGUGCUGUUUGGUCUCUGCAAACUGCUGACGUUCCGGCUCUGUGACCAGUUUUGUCAGUGGACUUGAAUGAGGCUGCAAAGCCAGGCAUAUGUGAAGCUGAAACACAUGCUGAAGCAUCCAGACGGUGCCUCAAGCUGGCCACACGUUCCCAGAAAUAAAGAAAAACACCAGAGCCUACCUGCAGAAUGACCUUUCUCCUAGCUGACUUGCAGCUCCCAAGCUUUUGUGCUGGAAGAGAUAGGGAGAUGAAAUGUUCUCCUGUUCAGUGUAUGUGGAAGAGACUGGAGCUGAGUUGCUAUCUUCGUAACAGUAAAACUACAGCGAGAUCUGAAUUCUUUGUUCAUGUUUCAUCGCCUGCUUUGAGGCAAGCAGUGGUGAUGAGUUCAGACAUCAGCCGUAGGGUGAGUACAGAUACCACCCACACCAGCUCCACCAGCAGACUGCAGACUGUAUCUGGUUCCUCCGUUCCUGUCUGUCCCUCACAGCCCUGCCGCAGGCCCUAAUAGAUGUAGAAGCCUUGUUAUACAGGACUCAGGCCCAGGGAUGGCAUGCUGCUGUUGCUGAGCAGUGCUGGCGAUGAUGACCUAAAGUGGUUUUGAUGAGAUUCAACACCAGGUGCUCCUCAUUAGAAGGUCUCAGCAACACUGUGCCAGUCUGAGCAAGAAACGUUCUCCCUCUUCUUCCACUGAGCAGGAGACAGCUGAGCUGUCCAGCAGACAACUCGGUGCUUUCCCG